UACGGAGGGUGCAAGCGUUGUUCGGAAUUAUUGGGCGUAAAGGGCGUGUAGGCGGUUUUUUAAGUCUGAUGUGAAAGCCCCGGGCUCAACCUGGGAAGUGCAUUGGAAACUGGAAGACUUGGGUACGGGAGAGGGCAGUGGAAUUCCUGGUGGAGCGGUGAAAUGCAUUGAGAUCGGAAAGAACACCAACGGCGAAAGCACUCUGCUGGGCCGACACUGACACUGAGAGACGAAAGCUAGGGGAGCAAAUGGG
RNAcentral lists this ribosomal RNA (253 nucleotides) under uncultured bacterium. RNAcentral describes it as "partial 16S ribosomal RNA". It matches the Rfam family "Bacterial small subunit ribosomal RNA", at positions 524 to 776 of the family's 1533-position model. The record is from RNAcentral.